AAAAUGCGAUACUUAAUGCGAUCUGCAUGAACCUGUGAGUCAUCUAGUCUUUGAACGCAACUUGCGCCGCUCUGCGGCAUGUCUGUUUGAGCACCAUAAUAUACUCACUGUCGUAAGACAACUUGUCUGGAUUGUUGAGCCAGAUUAAAAAUAGUAUAUCAAUUAGUAUUGUUAUGGUGCGCGGAGCACACCGAGUUAGAGGCCUCUUGGUCUUGUCGGUAAUGCCCCGUGUGCUUAAUAACACACACCAAUUUUGGUCUCAAAUCAGGCAAGACUACCCGCUGAACUUAA
Molecule: unclassified non-coding RNA, 291 nt
Filed under: uncultured fungus
Lineage: Eukaryota; Fungi
Description: sequence contains ITS1
Rfam family: 5.8S ribosomal RNA (bases 1-96)
Source: RNAcentral